GGAAUAUUGCGCAAUGGGGGCAACCCUGACGCAGCGACGCCGCGUGGGUGAGGAAGGCUUUCGGGUCGUAAAACCCUGUCAGAAGGGAAGAAAUGCUUAUGGGUUAAUAUCUUGUAAGCUUGACGGUACCUUCAAAGGAAGCACCGGCUAACUCCGUGCCAGCAGCCGCGGUAAUACGGAGGGUGCAAGCGUUGUUCGGAAUCACUGGGCGUAAAGGGCGCGUAGGCGGCUUGGCAAGUCAGAUGUGAAAGCCCACGGCUUAACCGUGGAAGUGCAUUUGAAACUGCUUGGCUUGAGUAUCAGAGGGGAAAGUGGAAUUCCCGGUGUAGAGGUGAAAUUCGUAGAUAUCGGGAGGAAUACCGGUGGCGAAGGCGACUUUCUGGCUGAAUACUGACGCUGAGGCGCGAAAGCGUGGGGAGCAAACAGGAUUA
RNAcentral lists this ribosomal RNA (431 nucleotides) under uncultured Desulfobulbaceae bacterium. RNAcentral describes it as "bacterial SSU rRNA". It matches the Rfam family "Bacterial small subunit ribosomal RNA", at positions 358 to 780 of the family's 1533-position model. Lineage: Bacteria; Pseudomonadati; Thermodesulfobacteriota; Desulfobulbia; Desulfobulbales; Desulfobulbaceae. The record is from RNAcentral.